RNAcentral lists this unclassified non-coding RNA (329 nucleotides) under soil metagenome. Its description in RNAcentral is "partial contains 5.8S ribosomal RNA, internal transcribed spacer 2, and large subunit ribosomal RNA". The stretch from base 1 to 120 matches the Rfam family "5.8S ribosomal RNA", at positions 35 to 154 of the family's 154-position model. The record is from RNAcentral.
GAUGAAGAACGUAGCGAAAUGCGAUAAGUAAUGUGAAUUGCAGAAUUCAGUGAAUCAUCGAAUCUUUGAACGCACAUUGCGUCCCCUGGUAUUCCGGGGGGCAUGCCUGUCCGAGCGUCAUUACAACCCUCAAGCCCAGCUUGGUGUUGGGCCCCGCCGCCCCGGCGGGCCCUAAAGUCAGUGGCGGUGCCGUCCGGCUCCGAGCGUAGUAAUUCUUCUCGCUCUGGAGGUCCGGUCGUGUGCUCGCCAGCAACCCCCAAUUUUUUUCAGGUUGACCUCGGAUCAGGUAGGGAUACCCGCUGAACUUAAGCAUAUCAAUAAGCGGAUGA